AUUGAACGCUGGCGGCAGGCCUAACACAUGCAAGUCGAGCGGAUGAAGGGAGCUUGCUCCUGGAUUCAGCGGCGGACGGGUGGGUAAUGCCUAGGAAUCUGCCUGGUAGUGGGGGAUAACGUCCGGAAACGGGCGCUAAUACCGCAUACGUCCUGAGGGAGAAAGUGGGGGAUCUUCGGACCUCACGCUAUCAAAUGAGCCUAGGUCGGAUUAGCUAGUUGGUGGGGUAAAGGCCUACCAAGGCGACGAUCCGUAACUGGUCUGAGAGGAUGAUCAGUCACACUGGAACUGAGACACGGUCCAGACUCCUACGGGAGGCAGCAGUGGGGAAUAUUGGACAAUGGGCGAAAGCCUGAUCCAGCCAUGCCGCGUGUGUGAAGAAGGUCUUCGGAUUGUAAAGCACUUUAAGUUGGGAGGAAGGGCAGUAAGUUAAUACCUUGCUGUUUUGACGUUACCAACAGAAUAAGCACCGGCUAACUUCGUG
RNAcentral lists this ribosomal RNA (484 nucleotides) under uncultured bacterium. RNAcentral describes it as "partial 16S ribosomal RNA". It matches the Rfam family "Bacterial small subunit ribosomal RNA", at positions 30 to 507 of the family's 1533-position model. The record is from RNAcentral.